AUCAAGCCAGAGAGAAGGAAAUCAGACAGCUUUUUAGGGACUUUGGAAGAAGAUGAACUAAAACCCUGUUUUUGGAAGCGAUUGGGUUGGUCCGAACCUUCCAGGAUAAUUGUGCUGGAUCAGAGCGACUUGUCAGACUGAUUAGAACUGGACCAUGCUCGAAUUGUGGCUGUGGCCUCCUUUCUUCUCUUAUCCACUUCAAUUGCCUCAAGGACAGUAGUUCAGUCUGUAACUCACGCUUUGUUCUGCUGCUACUAUGGGCACAAUAAUGUGGCCCUAUCAUGUGUAGCAUGCUUAAUCAUUUGUUUUAAAUCAGGUUUCUGAAAACUUCAAAGUAACCAUAAUGGCAAACAUUUUAAUUGUGUUCAGAAUGGCUUUUGUUUUUAUUGAUGUAAAUUUUUGAAACCAUAACUUUGUUGUAUAAUAAAGUGUUUACUUUCAACACCA
This 447-nucleotide long non-coding RNA is filed under the name Rattus norvegicus (Norway rat). RNAcentral's name for it is "long non-coding RNA NONRATT005852". Lineage: Eukaryota; Metazoa; Chordata; Mammalia; Rodentia; Muridae. The record is from RNAcentral.